Molecule: ribosomal RNA, 327 nt
Filed under: uncultured eukaryote
Lineage: Eukaryota
Description: partial 18S ribosomal RNA
Rfam family: Eukaryotic small subunit ribosomal RNA
Source: RNAcentral
CCCUUAGAUGUCCUGGGCCGCACGCGCGUUACACUGAUGCACUCAACGAGCAUAUAACCUUGGCCGAGAGGCCUGGGUAAUCUUGUUAACAUGCAUCGUGAUAGGGAUAGAUUAUUGCAAUUAUUAAUCUUGAACGAGGAAUUCCUAGUAAUCGCAGAUCAUCAAUCUGCAAUGAUUACGUCCCUGCCCUUUGUACACACCGCCCGUCGCACCUACCGAUUGAAUGGUCCGGUGAGGACUCGGGAUUGUGGUUUGGCUCCUUCAUUGGGGCCUGACUGUGAGAACUUGUCCAAACCUUAUCAUUUAGAGGAAGGUGAANUCGUANCA